RNAcentral lists this ribosomal RNA (2900 nucleotides) under Klebsiella pneumoniae. Its description in RNAcentral is "23S ribosomal RNA". It matches the Rfam family "Bacterial large subunit ribosomal RNA". The record is from RNAcentral. Lineage: Bacteria; Pseudomonadati; Pseudomonadota; Gammaproteobacteria; Enterobacterales; Enterobacteriaceae.
UUAAGCGACUAAGCGUACACGGUGGAUGCCCUGGCAGUCAGAGGCGAUGAAGGACGUGCUAAUCUGCGAAAAGCGUCGGUAAGGUGAUAUGAACCGUUAUAACCGGCGAUGUCCGAAUGGGGAAACCCAGUGCAAUUCGUUGCACUAUCGUUAACUGAAUACAUAGGUUAACGAGGCGAACCGGGGGAACUGAAACAUCUAAGUACCCCGAGGAAAAGAAAUCAACCGAGAUUCCCCCAGUAGCGGCGAGCGAACGGGGAGCAGCCCAGAGUCUGAAUCAGCUUGUGUGUUAGUGGAACGGUCUGGAAAGUCCGACGGUACAGGGUGAUAGUCCCGUACACCAAAAUGCACAGGCUGUGAACUCGAAGAGUAGGGCGGGACACGUGGUAUCCUGUCUGAAUAUGGGGGGACCAUCCUCCAAGGCUAAAUACUCCUGACUGACCGAUAGUGAACCAGUACCGUGAGGGAAAGGCGAAAAGAACCCCGGCGAGGGGAGUGAAAAAGAACCUGAAACCGUGUACGUACAAGCAGUGGGAGCACCUUCGGGUGUGACUGCGUACCUUUUGUAUAAUGGGUCAGCGACUUAUAUUCUGUAGCAAGGUUAACCGUAUAGGGGAGCCGCAGGGAAACCGAGUCUUAACUGGGCGUUAAGUUGCAGGGUAUAGACCCGAAACCCGGUGAUCUAGCCAUGGGCAGGUUGAAGGUUGGGUAACACUAACUGGAGGACCGAACCGACUAAUGUUGAAAAAUUAGCGGAUGACUUGUGGCUGGGGGUGAAAGGCCAAUCAAACCGGGAGAUAGCUGGUUCUCCCCGAAAGCUAUUUAGGUAGCGCCUCGUGAACUCAUCUUCGGGGGUAGAGCACUGUUUCGGCUAGGGGGUCAUCCCGACUUACCAACCCGAUGCAAACUACGAAUACCGAAGAAUGUUAUCACGGGAGACACACGGCGGGUGCUAACGUCCGUCGUGAAGAGGGAAACAACCCAGACCGCCAGCUAAGGUCCCAAAGUCAUGGUUAAGUGGGAAACGAUGUGGGAAGGCACAGACAGCCAGGAUGUUGGCUUAGAAGCAGCCAUCAUUUAAAGAAAGCGUAAUAGCUCACUGGUCGAGUCGGCCUGCGCGGAAGAUGUAACGGGGCUAAACCAUGCACCGAAGCUGCGGCAGCGACACUAUGUGUUGUUGGGUAGGGGAGCGUUCUGUAAGCCUGCGAAGGUGUGCUGUGAGGCAUGCUGGAGGUAUCAGAAGUGCGAAUGCUGACAUAAGUAACGAUAAAGCGGGUGAAAAGCCCGCUCGCCGGAAGACCAAGGGUUCCUGUCCAACGUUAAUCGGGGCAGGGUGAGUCGACCCCUAAGGCGAGGCCGAAAGGCGUAGUCGAUGGGAAACAGGUUAAUAUUCCUGUACUUGGUGUUACUGCGAAGGGGGGACGGAGAAGGCUAUGUUAGCCGGGCGACGGUUGUCCCGGUUUAAGCAUGUAGGCUGAUUGUCCAGGCAAAUCCGGAUAAUCAAGGCUGAGGUGUGAUGACGAGGCACUACGGUGCUGAAGUAACAAAUGCCCUGCUUCCAGGAAAAGCCUCUAAGCAUCAGGUAACAUCAAAUCGUACCCCAAACCGACACAGGUGGUCAGGUAGAGAAUACCAAGGCGCUUGAGAGAACUCGGGUGAAGGAACUAGGCAAAAUGGUGCCGUAACUUCGGGAGAAGGCACGCUGGUGUGUAGGUGAAGUCCCUGCGGAUGGAGCUGAGACCAGUCGAAGAUACCAGCUGGCUGCAACUGUUUAUUAAAAACACAGCACUGUGCAAACACGAAAGUGGACGUAUACGGUGUGACGCCUGCCCGGUGCCGGAAGGUUAAUUGAUGGGGUUAUCCGUAAGGAGAAGCUCUUGAUCGAAGCCCCGGUAAACGGCGGCCGUAACUAUAACGGUCCUAAGGUAGCGAAAUUCCUUGUCGGGUAAGUUCCGACCUGCACGAAUGGCGUAAUGAUGGCCAGGCUGUCUCCACCCGAGACUCAGUGAAAUUGAACUCGCUGUGAAGAUGCAGUGUACCCGCGGCAAGACGGAAAGACCCCGUGAACCUUUACUAUAGCUUGACACUGAACAUUGAGCCUUGAUGUGUAGGAUAGGUGGGAGGCUUUGAAGCGUGGACGCCAGUCUGCGUGGAGCCAACCUUGAAAUACCACCCUUUAAUGUUUGAUGUUCUAACGUUGGCCCCUUACCGGGGUUGCGGACAGUGUCUGGUGGGUAGUUUGACUGGGGCGGUCUCCUCCCAAAGCGUAACGGAGGAGCACGAAGGUUAGCUAAUCCUGGUCGGACAUCAGGAGGUUAGUGCAAUGGCAUAAGCUAGCUUGACUGCGAGCGUGACGGCGCGAGCAGGUGCGAAAGCAGGUCAUAGUGAUCCGGUGGUUCUGAAUGGAAGGGCCAUCGCUCAACGGAUAAAAGGUACUCCGGGGAUAACAGGCUGAUACCGCCCAAGAGUUCAUAUCGACGGCGGUGUUUGGCACCUCGAUGUCGGCUCAUCACAUCCUGGGGCUGAAGUAGGUCCCAAGGGUAUGGCUGUUCGCCAUUUAAAGUGGUACGCGAGCUGGGUUUAGAACGUCGUGAGACAGUUCGGUCCCUAUCUGCCGUGGGCGCUGGAGAAUUGAGGGGGGCUGCUCCUAGUACGAGAGGACCGGAGUGGACGCAUCACUGGUGUUCGGGUUGUCAUGCCAAUGGCACUGCCCGGUAGCUAAAUGCGGAAGAGAUAAGUGCUGAAAGCAUCUAAGCACGAAACUUGCCCCGAGAUGAGUUCUCCCUGAGACUUUAAGUCUCCUGAAGGAACGUUAAAGACGAUGACGUUGAUAGGCCGGGUGUGUAAGCGCAGCGAUGCGUUGAGCUAACCGGUACUAAUGAACCGUGAGGCUUAACCUU